CCUGGAUCCCUGGCAGUGCCCAAGGCCAGGCUGGACACUGGGGCUGGGAGCACCUGGGACAGUGGGAGGUGUCCCUCCUUUAAGGUCCCUUCCAACCUCAACCAUUCUUUGACUUUGGAGAAAUCUUUAAAAACCUGGCUACUCAAACAAACAGAAGCAAUUUUCACAUACAAAAUCAGUUUGAUGUAAACGUUGCUUUAAUCUGAUGAAGGUUAAUAAUAAGUUUUUGUUUAGUAUAGUCUAAACUCUUCAUGCUAGGACUUCAACACUAAUUUAACUAUUAGCACAAAAGUAGAAGAUAACAGGUUAUUGUGAAUAAAACUAUGGUAGAAAAAAGAAAGAGCUAAAAGCCUGUUAUUCAUGAGUUAUUGAAAACAAAAAAGGAAGAAACCUUAUUUUACCUACACUCUACAAAAUUUUCCAUGUCAUUUUUUUUUUCAGAGGAAGCAAUUUUUAGAGAGAUAAUGAAGAGCCUGUAGAACUAAUGUAUAUUCUGUGAGAUUUCUAACUGCCUUAAACUGAGUUGUACAGAUAUUUAAAAUUUGCACAAUUAGACUUCUGUCCUGCUGAUAGAAGUUCUGAUAGAAACAAACUAGAAGUUUACAAAUCAAACUCCUUUGUUCAGUUUUAUGUUGGGCCAGGCUACAACUGAGAGGUUGCCUGUAUUUUUGAGAGUUGUAUAAUCCAGUUUAAUGUAAAUUUCAGCUGACUUGGAGGCCUGGUUUGCCCCCUCUCCCAGGUUUGAUGUCCUUUGGGUGUGCUGGGAAUAAGGGGAAGCACCUCUGGCUUUUUCUGGGCUCCAUGUAGGAUGCAGAGGAAAACUGACUGACUACACUGAUGUUGUUUUUAGGAAUUGUGGAUGGCAAAUAAUAACUGAGGUUGUUUAUUUUGCUUCUUAGUGUACACUCAUCUUUAGAAGCCCUCAGGCUAAAAGACAGGCACUUUAACCUAAACCUGAGUAAAACAUCUAAUUAAAAUGAAUAAUAACUUUAUGUGCUAGAUAAGAAUUUGAGACAUUAAAGGAAGAACUGUUACUUUUCCCAUAUUUAGACAUGCACUUUUACCUUGGUUUGUCCUACUUGAGACAAAUUAAAGCUUCCCUUAUAUAUUUCCUUUUCCUAUCAGCAAAGCAUGUUUUGUUAAAAUCAGGGAGAUUUUAUUAAUGUUCCACAAGUCAGAGGUUGGAAUCUCAAUAGGAAAUGUUUGGCUUAUUCAAAUUUAUAUUUUUAUGCUAAAACUUCUUGAAACUAAUGGAAAAAAUGUACAGUGAUCAGGGUGAGAUCAAUGCAGGAAAACCACCUGUGUAAGAAUUUUAGCUGUAGAAGUAAUUUUGACUUUACUUAAAUAGAAAUUUGGAUACCAGACCUGUUUCUGUCUACCUGACUGACCUACUGUUGAAUUUCUGUGCUUGAGGAACUGGGUUCUUUCUUGGCUGUGCAGUCUUGUAGUAAUGAGAUGAGAAAACUGUGACUGGAGUGGUUCCAGUGUAGUUAAGAUGAACAAUAACACUGUCACUCCUAAAAAUUGUUUUGUUUUCAGGCCUGGUUCAGAAUUUGUUUUGCUGGAUUUGUAAGACAGAAUGUAAUUUGCAUUUUUCAUCAGGACACUCUGUAAUUCCAAAAUAUUUCAUUGUUGCUUUAUACUUUUUAGAUUUGUUUUAUAAGUAAAACUGCAAGUCUGUGUGUGUAAACAUCCUUUAUUUUAAGGAUAAAAGCUGACUGAACUGGAAUCCAGUUAGAACUUAUUGCUCCUGGGCAAGUUUUGGAAUCAAAAUUUUUCCAGUUAAAGAGGGCAGAAAUGGUGGCUCUCUUUGGAUCACAUGUUGAACAAUUCUAUAAUUUAAAUUUGGCUGAAAUGUAGUGUUAGGAUAAGAGAAGACUGGAAGACUUUACAACUAUUAAUUUAUGGAAGUGGUUUUCCUUGUCUUUUUGGUAGAUGAUGCCCUCUCCUAUUCCCAAGCUCUGGCAUUCCCAAGGGAACUUGUGCAUGCUGGAGCUCCAGGGAGCACCUUUCAGUACUGACUGAUCACAGCAGCCAAGGGCUCCUUGCCUUGUGGGUUUUUCCCUGCUGGUAUCCUAGGGAGAGUCGCUUCCCUGUGCACAGAUGUGGUUUCUGACCUCUGGGGCUUCUGCUGGCUGUGUUCACAUUGCUAGAGGCUUCUCUUUGUCUCCUCAUUUGGUGAUUUAGAGAAAUGUCUCCUGAGCCACAAUGGCCUUGGGCAGAACUCAGGGUGGGUCACUGAUGGAGGAGUUGGGAGCAGGAGGAAGCCUGCAGGACCCCAUGGAAAAGGGGCCCUUGUUCAGGAGGGGAUCCCAUUGUGAGGAAUGGAUGUUCUUAACAACAGAACUCAGUGUGAAAAAAUCUGUCCCCAAGCCUUGCAAAUCAGUGUUUGGAAGGAUUUUCCUGCUGCUGCCUGGACACCACGGGUUCUGCUCUGGAGUGACUGAGGGAAAGAUUAGUUGGGACAUCUCUGAAUGGUUGAGGAAUGAAAAAACUCUUUUCUCUGUUUCCUUGGGCAAACUCCUCAUGGCAGGGGCGUUCCUGGGCAGCAGCAGCAGCAGCAGUGUUGGUGCUCAUCCCUUGGUUCUGCCCCCAGAGCCCUGGGGUGCAUCCCUGUGUCCUUCCCAGGACUGGGAUGUUCCUGUUCCAGGAUCACACUGUGUGUUCAGUUGUGCCAAACACUGCCCUGGCAUCAUUGUCCCCUCCUGUCAACUGAGCAGCUUUGGAAGGUGUGUUUUCCUAUUUUUCAUAAUUUAUACAUACUAUUGACUAGAAUUUAAAGACCAGAGCUGGUACUGGCAAAUUCUUUCCAAGUGUGAUCCCUUGCACAAGCAGGCCUUACCCAGAGCCAGUGAGGGAGACUUGUCCAGGAUUCUGGGAUUGAGUCCUUUGUUAAAAGAACGUUUCAUUUUGAGUCCUCCAUGUGCACUCACACUGCACUCACUUGUUUUGUUGGUUUUUUUAAAAACCCAAAUCCUCACAUUAUAAGGUAAUGGGUGAUUAACAUUUUAACUGUUAUUAAUGGAAGUUUGGAAAGGAGAUGGAACUUUUCCAUAGUUCUGUAGCUGCAAAACAUGAACCUUGUGGGGGUUUUGUUUUCAUUGUCACUGAUUAUUUUAUAGCUUUGUGGACAUUUCUAACGUGCACUAUUUAUAGCACUCUUAAUACACACUCACUGUUUUGAGACUGAAUAUUCCAAUGAACAUUUGAAUAUUUCAACAUUUUCAUUAUCUCAGUUAAUAUUCAACUGUGAAGGAGGCAAUAGGAAAAAUAUUUUGUUUUUUCACAGACACAUGUUUAGAUGAAGAGGAUUUAGACAUAAAAUGUUGAUUGGCUUUUUAAUAUAAAAGUCAGUGCUGGGACAUUUCCCAGCAGUGUUUUCCAGACAAAUAAUCUGUUAAUGUUUGUUUUGUUCCAGAAUGUUUUGGGGGUUUGCUUUUUGUUUCUUUUUGACAAAGGGAAUGUAAUUUAGAAGUCUUCACUGGCAAGUUUUCUACUAAUUUUAAGCUUCUUUGAAAAUCUACAGCAAAUGAUGUUCUGCUGCAGGAAAUCUCUCUCCUGCUAAAGCAUUUUUCAUUGAGCAAUCUUUGUGUAUGUGCUUCUAAGUACCUACUUUGUUAAUAAUAUGUAUUUCAGCGUAAAGAGCAGAUUUUAUGCAAAAAUGAAAGCUGUUAGAGUUGUAAAAUAAAUUCUAAUGUUAGUGAACGUUUCUGAGAUGACAAGGUUAAUUCUGAAAUAACUCUAUCUUGUGUAGUUCAUGCUGUGAAGCUUUGCUUUUGUAAGAUAUGAAUAAAAUAACACUUUCUAAUUA
Molecule: non-coding RNA, 3811 nt
Organism: Agelaius phoeniceus (red-winged blackbird)
Lineage: Eukaryota; Metazoa; Chordata; Aves; Passeriformes; Icteridae
Source: RefSeq, a predicted model, not a curated record